AUGUAGCUUACCACAAAAACCUCUCCUUUUAGUUUUUUUAGAGGAGAAUAUUCCAAGCAGCUUCACCAUCAGUUUAAUGUUUCAGAAUCAUUCUGGUAGCAACUUAUGCAGUGCUGACACAAAAGAAGCCAAUACAGAAUACUAAGAAGAGGUGCAAGUUUGGGCUACUGGGAGGUUCCAGUAUCUGCUAGGAAUUAUGGCCCUGAACCAGGCCUUUAUGAUUGGAUGUGAUGUUAGCUAUGGAACACACAGCCUCCUGCUGCAAGUCUUAUUCAACAGUUCAGAUGGGAUUUGUGUUGUGUAA
Molecule: long non-coding RNA, 304 nt
Filed under: Manacus vitellinus (golden-collared manakin)
Lineage: Eukaryota; Metazoa; Chordata; Aves; Passeriformes; Pipridae
Description: lncRNA (ENSMVIG00005006673.1)
Source: RNAcentral